Molecule: long non-coding RNA, 2471 nt
Filed under: Capsicum annuum
Lineage: Eukaryota; Viridiplantae; Streptophyta; Magnoliopsida; Solanales; Solanaceae
Description: long non-coding RNA (CANN_LNC019462)
Source: RNAcentral
UUCAAUAAUUUCUUACAAAUAACAUUGAUAAAAUCUUGAAUUGAACUAAGCAAGAAACAGCCUAAGAUAAAAGCAUCAUAGCCCUGCUAAAGAACUUACGCAGCAACUGUUUUGGGAAACAAACCUUUGGAUCGACAUCAUGGGCCAAACCAUUCAUCAACAAAACAAAAUGUAGUCAACACUGGUCAAAAGAAGAGAGAUACACAAAAAUGAAGUCAACACUGGUCCUAAGAGGAUAUUAGUUAGUUUGUAUUCAAAGCAAGGAAAGAAAAUCAUACACCAACUAUCCUUUUGAUCUACUUUCCUUCUAUAAUCAUCAGAAGUUUAGCUAUAGCUAGAAUUAAAGUCGCAUAGCGAAAAACUAAGUUGCUCAUACUCUUCAAAAAUGUCUACGGGUGCAUGUCGGAUCCUCCAAAAAUAGUCUAUUUUUGAAGGAUCCGACAUGGUUGCAGCAACAUUUUCGAAGAGUUCGAGCAACUUAGGCGAAAAAGCCUCGGGCAUUCAAGGAAGGAUAGAAGCAGUGUAUGAGUGUAUGCUCUCAAGCCUGGCGAAGGCGGAAGCACGUAGGCGGCCACUGCAAAUGUCUUGAGAAACAAGCCUUAGGAUCUAUCAUCAUGGGCCAGAAAGAUGUUCAUCAAGAAAACAAAAGCAAGUCAGCACUAUCCUAAGAGGAGUUGCACAUACAGCAGCUUUAUAAUAAACAGUCUCCUAUUCAAAGCAAGAAAAUGAUCAUACAUUACACCCUAUACUAUAAUCAAGUUGUUCGUCCAUCCUUCUAAUCUCCUAUCUUUCUAUUAAAUCAAAUCACAUGAUAUAGCUAAAACAAAAGUCACAUUAAAAUAUGCCUUGGACAUCCAAGGAAGGAUAGAAACAGCACAAGCUCUCAAGCCCGGCGAAGGUGAAAGCACUUACGCGGCCACUACGAAUGUUUUGAGAAACAAGCCUUAGGGAAUAUCAUCAUGAGCCAAAAGGUAGAUGUUCAUCACAAUAACAAGAGCAUAAAACACUAAUACUAAGAGGAGGUACACAUACAAUAGUGUUAUAGUCCAUCUCAAUUCAGAGCAAGAAAGAAUCAUGCAUAGCCAAAUUAAAGCAAGAUAAUGAAUAAGACUCAGACAUCCAAGGAAGGAUAGAAGCAGCAUAUGCUCUCAAGCCUGGCGAAGGCGAAAGCACUUAGGCGGCCACUGCGAAUGUUUUGAGAAACAAGCCUUAGGAUGUAUCAUCAUAGUCCAAAAAUAAAACAACCAUCAAGAAAACAAAAGCAUUAAACACUAAUCAUAAGUGUUAGGCUUGCACUAGUGUUUCUUAUUAGUUUCCUAUUCAUCCAUCAAGCAUGAAAUCAUACAUAGCUAAAAAAAAUAAAGAACAUAGUGAAAAGCCUCAGACAUCCAAGGAAGGAUAAAGGCAGCAUAUGCUCUCAAGCCCGGCGAAGGCGAAAGCACUUAGGCGGCCACUGCGAAUGUUUAGAGAAACAAGCCUUAGGGAAUAUCAUCAUGAGCCAAAAGGUAGAUGUUCAUCACACUAACAAGAGCAUAAAACACUACUCCUAAGAAGAGGGACACAUACAAUAGUGUUAUAGUCCAUCUCAAUUCAGAGCAAGAAAGAAUCAUGCAUAGCCAAAUUAAAGCAAGGUAAUGAAUAAGACUCAGACAUCCAAGGAAGGAUAGAAGCAGCAUAUGCUCUCAAGCCUGGCGAAGGCGAAAGCACUUAGGCGGCCACUGCGAAUGUUUUGAGAAACAAGCCUUAGGAUGUAUCAUCAUAGUCCAAAAAUAAAACAACCAUCAAGAAAACAAAAGCAUUAAACACUAAUCAUAAGUGUUAGGCUUGCACUAGUGUUUCUUAUUAGUUUACUAUUCAUCCAUCAAGCAUGAAAAAAUCAUACAUAGCUAAAAAAAAUUAAGAACAUAGUGAAAAGCCUCAGACAUCCAAGGAAGGAUAAAGGCAGCAUAUGCUCUCAAGCCCGGCGAAGGCGAAAGCACUUAGGCGGCCACUGCGAAUGUUUUGAGAAACAAGCCUUAGGAUGUAUCAUCAUUGGCUCUACAAAAACAAAACACAACAAGAAAGCCAGGACGCAAAGCAAUUUCUUUAAACCAAUCAAAUUUGUGCCAUCCAAUAAUGAUCAGCAAAAUACACACAUUGUGAUGCUGACAAAGUGAUGAAUGAAUUCAAUUAUCAGGGACUUGUUCUUCCCUAAAGCAACUAUUUCAUUGCUAAAGAGGCAGACUUAUAAGUCCAAAAUCCCCUGAUUUCAUAUGCAAAGGGUGCACACUUCAUCAAAUGCUAUGAUCUUUAUCCAUACAAAGCCAUAAAAACACCUAUUUUAGUUACAUAAAUGAUAGUUUCAAAAGCAAAAGCACCACAAUAUAGCAAAAGUUCUUCACAAAACGAUGAUAUAACUAAGUGAAAUAUCAAUUCAUUUUCUACACUAUGUCAAAAAGGGCGAAAACACCAGUUUCUUCAGAAGCAAAAUA